UAAGUGAUGACGAAGGUAUGCCUCUCCUUGCAGACUUCAUUUGGAGCACUUCAUACAGCAUCCUGCACAUCCCUGUCAAUCCUGUACCACUUAGAGUGCAUCCUACACUCAAACGAUGCUUUCACAAAAACAAGAAGGAGCAUGGUACUUCAUCACAGCCACAGUGUGUUGAUCGAUCUCAACGCUCAGCAACAUCCUAUCGGCCCUUUCCAGCUGUUAAAAUGAAGUAUGUUGACCAUGACCAAUGGACACAUCUGGUGCCUACUGUUCCAGAUGUGAGGAUGCAGGUUCGGGACCGGCGUCAUUGUAUACGUCAGCAUGCUGCCACAGGACUGUUUGUUGACAUACAGCAAGUACGUUUCUGUUGAUGUAUACACUUUGUUGAACUGUUCAAUUACGU
Long non-coding RNA from Anguilla rostrata (American eel), 400 nucleotides. RefSeq lists it as uncharacterized. The transcript is spliced from 3 exons. The record is from RefSeq and is a predicted model, not a curated record. NCBI's taxonomy places the organism in Eukaryota, Metazoa, Chordata, Actinopteri, Anguilliformes, Anguillidae.